This 384-nucleotide ribosomal RNA is filed under the name uncultured bacterium. RNAcentral describes it as "bacterial SSU rRNA". It matches the Rfam family "Bacterial small subunit ribosomal RNA", at positions 28 to 412 of the family's 1533-position model. The record is from RNAcentral.
GACGAACGCUGGCGGCGUGCUUAACACAUGCAAGUCGAGCGGUAAGGCCCUUUCGGGGGUACACGAGCGGCGAACGGGUGAGUAACACGUGGGUGACCUGCCCUCAGCUCUGGGAUAAGCCUGGGAAACCGGGUCUAAUACCGGAUAUGACUCCAUGACGCAUGUUGUGGGGUGGAAAGCCUUGUGCGGCUGAGGAUGGGCCCGCGGCCUAUCAGCUUGUUGGUGGGGUGAUGGCCUACCAAGGCGACGACGGGUAGCCGGCCUGAGAGGGCGACCGGCCACACUGGGACUGAGACACGGCCCAGACUCCUACGGGAGGCAGCAGGUGGGGAAUCUUGCGCAAUGGGCGAAAGCCUGAUGGAGCGACGCCGCGUGCAGGAUGAC